ACGUAGGCGGAUUAUAAGUUAGAGGUGAAAUCCCAGGGCUCAACCCUGGAACUGCCUUUAAAACUGUUAGUCUUGAGAUCGAGAGAGGUGAGUGGAAUUCCAAGUGUAGAGGUGAAAUUCGUAGAUAUUUGGAGGAACACCAGUGGCGAAGGCGGCUCACUGGCUCGAUACUGAC
This 175-nucleotide ribosomal RNA is filed under the name uncultured bacterium. RNAcentral describes it as "partial 16S ribosomal RNA". It matches the Rfam family "Bacterial small subunit ribosomal RNA", at positions 570 to 744 of the family's 1533-position model. The record is from RNAcentral.